Molecule: ribosomal RNA, 253 nt
Filed under: uncultured bacterium
Lineage: Bacteria
Description: partial 16S ribosomal RNA
Rfam family: Bacterial small subunit ribosomal RNA
Source: RNAcentral
UACGUAGGGUGCAAGCGUUACUCGGAUUUAUUGGGCGUAAAGCGCAUGUAGGCGGUUUUGUAAGUCUGAUGUGAAAUCCCUGGACUCAAUUCAGGAACUGCAUUGGAUACUGCAAGGCUAGAGUAUGAGAGAGGUAGGCGGAAUUCUUGGUGUAGAGGUGAAAUUCGUAGAUAUCAAGAGGAACAACAGAAGCGAAGGCGGCUUACUGGAUCAUUACUGACGCUGAGAUGCGACAGUGUGGGGAGCAAACAGG